GACAGGUACAAUGGCGCGUGCCUGUAGUCAGCUACUCAGGAGGCUGAGGCAGGAGGAUCACUUGAGCCCAGGAGUCCUCGGCUGUAGUACCCUAUGCUGAUAGGGUGUUCACACUGAGUUCACAUUAAUAUGGUGACCUCCCGGGAGUGAGGGAUCACCAGGCUGCCUAAGGAGGGGUUAACCUGCCCAGGUCAGAAGCAGAACAAGUGAAAACUCCCAUAUUGAUCAGUAGUGGGAUCAUGCCUGUGAAUCACCACUGCACUCCAGCCUGGGCAACAUAGCAAGACCCCAUUUCUU
This is an unclassified non-coding RNA of Macaca fascicularis (crab-eating macaque), 297 nucleotides long. It matches the Rfam family "Metazoan signal recognition particle RNA". Rfam says of the family: The signal recognition particle (SRP) is a universally conserved ribonucleoprotein. The record is from Ensembl. NCBI's taxonomy places the organism in Eukaryota, Metazoa, Chordata, Mammalia, Primates, Cercopithecidae.